AUAAUUUACGACAGCACAAUUACAAUGUGUUUGCUAUAGUAGAUGAUGAUAUUGUUACCACAGAAAUGCUAACAGAGGAAGACAUAGUUAACGAAGUCAAAAGGAGUAAUAUUGCAGGCAUACAAGAUGACAAUAACAAUGAAGACAACAAGAUUGAGAAAUCAGUACCUAGUUUGAGAGAGGCUCUUGAUGCCAUUAGAAUUAUUAACCGAUUUUAUAAGGCAGAUUCCCAAGGAAAUGAAAAUAUUGACACAAUAAAGGUGAUCGAAAAAGAUUUAGAAAAGCAGUAUUUAUGACAACGUGUAAAAUAAAAAAAAAUCAUCAAUUUCUUUGCUUAAUAUACGUUUCGCUUCAUUUUUGUUCAUUGUAUAAGAUCAUAAUUUCUG
RNAcentral lists this long non-coding RNA (386 nucleotides) under Androctonus crassicauda. The record is from RNAcentral. Lineage: Eukaryota; Metazoa; Arthropoda; Arachnida; Scorpiones; Buthidae.